RNAcentral lists this ribosomal RNA (429 nucleotides) under Acidobacteriota bacterium. RNAcentral's name for it is "Acidobacteria bacterium partial 16S ribosomal RNA". It matches the Rfam family "Bacterial small subunit ribosomal RNA", at positions 355 to 776 of the family's 1533-position model. The record is from RNAcentral. Lineage: Bacteria; Pseudomonadati; Acidobacteriota.
UGGGGAAUUUUGGACAAUGGGGGAAACCCUGAUCCAGCCAUCCCGCGUGUGCGAUGAAGGCCUUCGGGUUGUAAAGCACUUUUGGCAGGAAAGAAACGCCAUGGGUUAAUACCCCGUGAAACUGACGGUACCUGCAGAAUAAGCACCGGCUAACUACGUGCCAGCAGCCGCGGUAAUACGUAGGGUGCAAGCGUUAAUCGGAAUUAUUGGGCGUAAAGCGUGCGCAGGCGGUUCGGAAAGAAAGAUGUGAAAUCCCAGAGCUCAACUUUGGAACUGCAUUUUUAACUACCAGGCUAGAGUGUGUCAGAGGGAGGUGGAAUUCCGCGUGUAGCAGUGAAAUGCGUAGAUAUGCGGAGGAACACCGAUGGCGAAGGCAGCCUCCUGGGAUAACACUGACGCUCAUGCACGAAAGCGUGGGGAGCAAACAGG